RNAcentral lists this ribosomal RNA (253 nucleotides) under uncultured bacterium. Its description in RNAcentral is "partial 16S ribosomal RNA". It matches the Rfam family "Bacterial small subunit ribosomal RNA", at positions 524 to 776 of the family's 1533-position model. The record is from RNAcentral.
UACGGAGGGUGCGGGCGUUAUCCGGAUUCACUGGGUUUAAAGGGUGCGUAGGUGGGAAUGUAAGUCAGUGGUGAAAUCUCCGUGCUUAACACGGAAACUGCCAUUGAUACUAUGUUUCUUGAAUUUUCUGGAGGUUAGCGGAAUAUGUCAUGUAGCGGUGAAAUGCUUAGAUAUGACAUAGAACACCGAUUGCGAAGGCAGCUAACUACAGGGAUAUUGACACUGAGGCACGAAAGCGUGGGGAUCAAACAGG